RNAcentral lists this transfer RNA (72 nucleotides) under Mesophleps albilinella. Its description in RNAcentral is "tRNA-Leu". The record is from RNAcentral. Lineage: Eukaryota; Metazoa; Arthropoda; Insecta; Lepidoptera; Gelechiidae.
ACUAUUUUGACAGAAAAGUGUAAUGGUUUUAGAAAUCAUAAAUAUAUAAUAUGAAUUAUUAUAUAAAUAGUA